This 411-nucleotide ribosomal RNA is filed under the name Verrucomicrobiota bacterium. RNAcentral's name for it is "Verrucomicrobia bacterium partial 16S ribosomal RNA". It matches the Rfam family "Bacterial small subunit ribosomal RNA", at positions 355 to 776 of the family's 1533-position model. The record is from RNAcentral. Lineage: Bacteria; Pseudomonadati; Verrucomicrobiota.
UGGGGAAUCUUGCACAAUGGGCGAAAGCCUGAUGCAGCGACGCCGCGUGCGGGAUGAAGGCCUUCGGGUUGUAAACCGCUUUCAGCAGGGACGAGGCCGCAAGGUGACGGUACCUGCAGAAGAAGCCCCGGCUAACUACGUGCCAGCAGCCGCGGUAAUACGGAGGAUGCGAGCGUUAUCCGGAAUUAUUGGGGUUAAAGGGUGCGUAGGUUGCAAGGGAAGUCAGGGGUGAAAAGCUAUAGCUCAACUAUGGUCUUGCCUUUGAAACUCUCUAGCUAGAGUGUACUGGAGGUACGUGGAACGUGUGGUGUAGCGGUGACAUGCAUAGAUAUCACACAGAACUCCGAUUGCGCAGGCAGCGUACUACAUUACAACUGACACUGAAGCACGAAAGCGUGGGUAUCAAACAGG